This 481-nucleotide ribosomal RNA is filed under the name uncultured bacterium. RNAcentral's name for it is "partial 16S ribosomal RNA". It matches the Rfam family "Bacterial small subunit ribosomal RNA", at positions 28 to 507 of the family's 1533-position model. The record is from RNAcentral.
GAUGAACGCUGGCGGCGUGCUUAACACAUGCAAGUCGAACGAAGCAUUUGCGACAGAUUUUUUCGGAAUGAAGUUGCUUAUGACUGAGUGGCGGACGGGUGAGUAACGCGUGGGUAACCUGCCUUGUACUGGGGGAUAGCAGCUGGAAACGGCUGGUAAUACCGCAUAAGCGCACAAUGUUGCAUGACAUGGUGUGAAAAACUCCGGUGGUAUAAGAUGGACCCGCGUCUGAUUAGCUAGUUGGUGAGAUAACAGCCCACCAAGGCGACGAUCAGUAGCCGACCUGAGAGGGUGACCGGCAACAUUGGGACUGAGACACGGCCCAGACUCCUACGGGAGGCAGCAGUGGGGAAUAUUGCACAAUGGAGGAAACUCUGAUGCAGCGACGCCGCGUGAGUGAAGAAGUAAUUCGUUAUGUAAAGCUCUAUCAGCAGGGAAGAUAGUGACGGUACCUGACGAAGAAGCUCCGGCUAAAUACGUG